AGGAGAAUGAACAAAGGGUAGUCAACUGUGUAGUGUCUGCAAGAGAUAACUCGCCCUGGGUCUAGGAGUUGGGGGGUUGCUCAGGGAAGGCUUUCUGUAGGAUGUGAUGCCAGAGAUGAGGUUUAAAGGCCAAGCAGGAGUUGCCCCAGUGAAGCAGGUGCAGUUACAGGCAUUCCAGGGACACGGGACAGCAGGAGGUCCUAAUUCAGCUCCUCUCCAGAUGUAAAUAAAGGCUGCUAAGAGGGACUGAACUCUGGCUCCCGGUGGAAGAGAAGAGUUCACAAGGGCACUGUCUGGCUUGCUGGCUUUGAAGAAGCAGGAUGCAUGUUGUGUGUUUCUGUAUCGAGAGGACCAUGCAGUAAGGAGCUAAGAAAUGCUUCCAGUGGACAUCCAGCUGAAGAGGCCUUCCAUCCAGUAGCCUGCAAGCAGCCGAAUGCCGCCACAUGAGCUUGGAAGCAGAUUCUCCCCCACUUGAACCCUAGACAGGAACCCAGCUGUGGCUAAAAUUUGCAGCCUUCAGGGAACCCAGUUAAGCU
Molecule: long non-coding RNA, 536 nt
Organism: Ailuropoda melanoleuca (giant panda)
Lineage: Eukaryota; Metazoa; Chordata; Mammalia; Carnivora; Ursidae
Exons: 3
Source: RefSeq, a predicted model, not a curated record